CCCAGACUCCUACGGGAGGCAGCAGUGGGGGAUAUUGCACAAUGGGGGGAACCCUGAUGCAGCGACGCCGCGUGGGUGAAGGAGUGCUUCGGCAUGUAAAGCCCUAUCGGCAGGGAAGAAGCAAGACGGUACCUGACUAAGAAGCCCCGGCUAACUACGUGCCAGCAGCCGCGGUAAUACGUAGGGAGCGAGCGUUGUCCGGAAUUACUGGGUGUAAAGGGAGCGUAGGCGGGACUGCAAGUUGGGUGUCAAAUCUACCGGCUCAACCGGUAGCCGCACUCAAAACUGCAGUUCUUGAGUGAAGUAGAGGCAGGCGGAAUUCCUAGUGUAGCGGUGAAAUGCGUAGAUAUUAGGAGGAACACCAGUGGCGAAGGCGGCCUGCUGGGCUUUUACUGACGCUGAGGCUCGAAAGUGUGGGGAGCAAACAGGAUUAGAUACCCCAGUACUA
This 448-nucleotide ribosomal RNA is filed under the name uncultured bacterium. RNAcentral describes it as "bacterial SSU rRNA". It matches the Rfam family "Bacterial small subunit ribosomal RNA", at positions 330 to 797 of the family's 1533-position model. The record is from RNAcentral.